Molecule: ribosomal RNA, 466 nt
Filed under: uncultured bacterium
Lineage: Bacteria
Description: bacterial SSU rRNA
Rfam family: Bacterial small subunit ribosomal RNA
Source: RNAcentral
CCUACGGGAUGCACCAGUGAGGGAUUUUGCGCAAUGGGGGUAACCCUGACGCAGCAACGCCGCGUGAGUGAAGAAGGCCUUCGGGUCGUAAAGCUCUGUCAAGUGGGAAGAACCCGCAUCAGGUCAACAGGCUGAUGCGCUGACGGUACCACUGAAGGAAGCACCGGCUAACUCCGUGCCAGCAGCCGCGGUAAUACGGAGGGUGCAAGCGUUAUUCGGAAUCACUGGGCGUAAAGGGCGCGCAGGCGGCUGGGCAAGUCAGUAGUGAAAGCCCGGGGCUCAACCCCGGAAGUGCUGCUGAAACUGUCUGGCUUGAGUAUGGUAGAGGGAAGCGGAAUUCCUGGUGUAGCGGUGAAAUGCGUAGACAUCAGGGGGAACACCGGUGGCGAAGGCGGCUUCCUGGACCAAUACUGACGCUGAGGCGCGAAGGCGUGGGUAGCAAACAGGAUUAGAUACCCUUGUAGUC